RNAcentral lists this non-coding RNA (45 nucleotides) under Schistosoma haematobium. The record is from RNAcentral. Lineage: Eukaryota; Metazoa; Platyhelminthes; Trematoda; Strigeidida; Schistosomatidae.
AUCAAGCUGACGAGUCUUAAAUAGAACGAAACGCACGUACUGGAU